GUGGCUGCCGCGAGCCGGUCAGAGGCGGAGCGACGCACCAGGCGCGCUAGGAGGAGGCAGGAGGCCUCGCGAUCCUCUCCCACCAACGACAUUCAGGGACCGUGCGCAUCUGGCUCCCCAAGUGGCGCCCACUGGCCACCAGGGAAGGGUGCCUGGAAGUGACCACUGGGCCUCUCCACAGACGAGGCCUGGGGGCCUGGCCUGGUCCAAGAGCUCUGAGGACAGCUACAGGGUGCUCCUGUCCAAGGCCAAUUGAUCUAGGCUGUGUCCCACACAAAGGCAUCGCUCCCAAGCCCAGUCAGCUCUCCAGCGCUUCCAGAACUCAGCUCCAGGGUCCCUGCCAAAGACUGGCCCUCUCUGUCUGCCAACUCCGUCCUCAGGAGCACGGGCUCCCUUCCCCACUAGGAGGCUGGUGCUUACUCCAAGCCCAUCCCAGCCUGAGCCGUGUCCAGAUCAGCUCCAGGUCACAACCAGCCCUGUCCUGUGCCGCCCUGUCCUGUGCGGCCCUGCCCGCUCCCUGUCUUUGGCGCUGGCUGUGUUGCUGACCGGCUGUGGUCCUGCUGCCAGGUCCCCAGGCUGCCUCUGCUCAUGCCGCAGUGAUGCCUCAGUGUCUCCCAAUCCCCACAGAGACCCUUCUCAAUCAUCCUGCCUCCCAAGGAACAAACACCACGUUGGCUUAAUGUCUCCAGAAUUAGCUACUCCAGCUGCCCCAGCGACUCUUGACUCAUGGGAGCUCCUGGGCAUCGGAGCUGCUACAUUUGACCCUAGCUGGCCUUGAAACCCAGCCUUGGUCUAACGACUUCUAGCAGCAAGAAGAGGCUGCAGCGACUGUGCUCCAGCAGAGAGCCAGUGCCAAGACCUCAAGCCCAAAGCCACAGUCACCUCUGCUGCCCAGAAUGUCACGGCAGGCAGGGGCCUGCUUGUCACACCGGGCCCCAGAUGGCACAGCUGAGGUCAACUGACUGCAGGCGGUGACCCCACCCUCCUGGCAGCCCCCUUACCGGUCACGACAGGCCACCGCCAAGCCAGACCCCGGAGCCGGGCAGGCCAGGAGCCUACAUAAAGCAGGAAAAGUUGCUCUGAUUAAUAUUACCUUAAAUUAAAACUGAUUUU
This is a long non-coding RNA of Fukomys damarensis (Damara mole-rat), 1113 nucleotides long. RefSeq lists it as uncharacterized. The record is from RefSeq and is a predicted model, not a curated record. The transcript has 5 exons. Lineage: Eukaryota; Metazoa; Chordata; Mammalia; Rodentia; Bathyergidae.